AGUGAACGCUGGCGGUAGGCCUAACACAUGCAAGUCGAACGGCAGCACAGGAGAGCUUGCUCUCUGGGUGGCGAGUGGCGGACGGGUGAGGAAUACAUCGGAAUCUACUCUGUCGUGGGGGAUAACGUAGGGAAACUUAUGCUAAUACCGCAUACGACCUACGGGUGAAAGCAGGGGACCUUCGGGCCUUGCGCGAUUGAAUGAGCCGAUGUCGGAUUAGCUAGUUGGCGGGGUAAAGGCCCACCAAGGCGACGAUCCGUAGCUGGUCUGAGAGGAUGAUCAGCCACACCGGAACUGAGACACGGUCCAGACUCCUACGGGAGGCAGCAGUGGGGAAUAUUGGACAAUGGGCGCAAGCCUGAUCCAGCCAUACCGCGUGGGUGAAGAAGGCCUUCGGGUUGUAAAGCCCUUUUGUUGGGAAAGAAAUCCAGCUGGCUAAUACCCGGUUGGGAUGACGGUACCCAAAGAAUAAGCACCGGCUAACUUCGUGCCAGCCGCCGCCGUAA
Molecule: ribosomal RNA, 506 nt
Filed under: uncultured bacterium
Lineage: Bacteria
Description: partial 16S ribosomal RNA
Rfam family: Bacterial small subunit ribosomal RNA
Source: RNAcentral